UGGGGGAUAUUGCACAAUGGGGGGAACCCUGAUGCAGCGACGCCGCGUGGGUGAAGAAGCGCCUCGGCGCGUAAAGCCCUGUCAGCAGGGAAGAAAAUGACGGUACCUGAGUAAGAAGCCCCGGCUAACUACGAGCC
This 137-nucleotide ribosomal RNA is filed under the name uncultured bacterium. RNAcentral describes it as "partial 16S ribosomal RNA". It matches the Rfam family "Bacterial small subunit ribosomal RNA", at positions 355 to 509 of the family's 1533-position model. The record is from RNAcentral.